AUUAACAAAAUUUAUUUAAUUGAAAUUAUAAGAAUUUCGCGGACUUGGAGCUUUUUUAAUUGGAAUGUAUAAAAUCGCCGCUUUUUUUAUAUUUUGCUGCAGUUUGCCAUUGGUGAUCGCUUUAACAUGCCCUGCCUGUUACAAUGAACAGGAGUGUCAGCGCCCCAGGAAUGUUGAGUGCAAUAAGCAAACUGUAACUGAAUGUCUUACAGCAGUUAGUAAAGUUAUUGCGGACUUUUCAAGAGACGGAGAUUAUCGAUGCUUGGACCUGCAAUAUAUGACCCGGGAAUUCAAAAAAGCCCGUAUAAAGGGUUGUGUGGUUGGUAGUUGUCCCUGUGGACGACCAGAGAGUGCCCGAAUUUCAGUCACUUAUGGUAGAUGUAUGUUCCUGUCCCUAUUCUAACGUCGGUAGUAGUAGCUCAAGCAGCCACAUCAAGCAGUUCACAUUCAAGCAGUUCACAUUCAAGCGGUUCACAUUCAAGCGGUUCACAGUCAUCACACACAUCAUCACAAUCAUCACAAUCAUCAAAUACUACCACAGAGGACUCGGCGAGUGAAUUAAGCAAAAGUUUCUUCACAAUGAUCGCUGCUCUACUUGGUUUAGUGCUGGGCUUUAAACUAUUAAUGAGGCAAUGAAAUAAACUAAAUAUGUGUGUGUGUGUGUUAUUUUAUUAUUAUUCAAACACACACACACAUCCAAAGUGGUUAUCAAAAUGCGUCAAAUGAAACACAGCUGAUUAAAAUAG
Drosophila busckii is the source of this 746-nucleotide long non-coding RNA. RefSeq lists it as uncharacterized. The transcript has 3 exons. The record is from RefSeq and is a predicted model, not a curated record. NCBI's taxonomy places the organism in Eukaryota, Metazoa, Arthropoda, Insecta, Diptera, Drosophilidae.